This 472-nucleotide ribosomal RNA is filed under the name Botryotinia sp. 30439. RNAcentral's name for it is "eukaryotic LSU rRNA". The stretch from base 122 to 275 matches the Rfam family "5.8S ribosomal RNA". The record is from RNAcentral. Lineage: Eukaryota; Fungi; Ascomycota; Leotiomycetes; Helotiales; Sclerotiniaceae.
CUCCCACCCUUGUGUAUUAUUACUUUGUUGCUUUGGCGAGCUGCCUUUGGGCCUUGUAUGCUCGCCAGAGAAUACCAAAACUCUUUUUAUUAAUGUCGUCUGAGUACUAUAUAAUAGUUAAAACUUUCAACAACGGAUCUCUUGGUUCUGGCAUCGAUGAAGAACGCAGCGAAAUGCGAUAAGUAAUGUGAAUUGCAGAAUUCAGUGAAUCAUCGAAUCUUUGAACGCACAUUGCGCCCCUUGGUAUUCCGGGGGGCAUGCCUGUUCGAGCGUCAUUUCAACCCUCAAGCUUAGCUUGGUAUUGAGUCUAUGUCAGUAAUGGCAGGCUCUAAAAUCAGUGGCGGCGCCGCUGGGUCCUGAACGUAGUAAUAUCUCUCGUUACAGGUUCUCGGUGUGCUUCUGCCAAAACCCAAAUUUUUCUAUGGUUGACCUCGGAUCAGGUAGGGAUACCCGCUGAACUUAAGCAUAUCAA